Long non-coding RNA from Cynara cardunculus var. scolymus (artichoke), 671 nucleotides. RefSeq lists it as uncharacterized. Lineage: Eukaryota; Viridiplantae; Streptophyta; Magnoliopsida; Asterales; Asteraceae. The transcript has 2 exons. The record is from RefSeq and is a predicted model, not a curated record.
CCAUCGCCACCGCACCACCCUCGGUCGUCGCCGCACCACCCCCGUCGAUGAUUCGUUUGAAGACUGCACAUUUGAUUGGCUCUAAUGGCCUCAAGCUCGCCAACCAUUCAUUCCCGAAACUGUCAACUACAUCAAAUCACUGGAUGCUGAGGAAGACAUUGCUCUACUUAACUUUUACGGCUGGAAUUUACCCUCAGGAUGUGCAGGCACUUUUCGAAUAUCCACCAUGCUACUCAAGAAAAGUGUGGAGAAAGGAUUCACCCCUUUUUCCAUUGGAAACAUCAUGUGUAGGGAAAACUUGAAUAAGCAAUCCGUGAUUGAAUAAAUUGUCCAAGAAGCCGACGAUCUUGUUCUUCCUGGUUCAAGUGAGACUGCAUUCAUUGAGACUGUUUCUCAGAUCAUGGAUCGUCAUCUGGGUUUAUUUGCCUAACAAAGGUCCAUAGAUGAUAAUAAUUAGUAUAUAACUUCAUUUCUUUUGUGUAUAAGACCGUAUUAUGUUUUUGGUACAUAUGUAUAUAUGAGGGUGGAUAUGUCCCAAAAUCCUUCCAAGCAGUUAAAGAAUGAGGUUUUUAAAUUUAAAUAUGUUUAAACAUUUGAUUUGUUCCUUUAUUUGUUUUGUAUUUUGAUUUGUUGCUCUUGGAUUAAGUCUGAAUUUGAGUGGGGUUGAAGAC